Molecule: non-coding RNA, 74 nt
Organism: Musca vetustissima
Lineage: Eukaryota; Metazoa; Arthropoda; Insecta; Diptera; Muscidae
Source: the annotation of a RefSeq genome assembly
GCCUCGGUGGCGCAGCUGGUAGCGCGUAAGCUCUUACACACUUAAGGUCGUGAGUUCGAACCUCACCCGAGGUG